Molecule: ribosomal RNA, 492 nt
Filed under: uncultured bacterium
Lineage: Bacteria
Description: partial 16S ribosomal RNA
Rfam family: Bacterial small subunit ribosomal RNA
Source: RNAcentral
AGUGAACGCUGGCGGUAGGCCUAACACAUGCAAGUCGAACGGCAGCACAGUAAGAGCUUGCUCUUACGGGUGGCGAGUGGCGGACGGGUGAGGAAUACAUCGGAAUCUACUUUUUCGUGGGGGAUAACGUAGGGAAACUUACGCUAAUACCGCAUACGACCUACGGGUGAAAGCAGGGGAUCUUCGGACCUUGCGCGAUUGAAUGAGCCGAUGUCGGAUUAGCUAGUUGGCGGGGUAAAGGCCCACCAAGGCGACGAUCCGUAGCUGGUCUGAGAGGAGGAUCAGCCACACUGGAACUGAGACACGGUCCAGACUCCUACGGGAGGCAGCAGUGGGGAAUAUUGGACAAUGGGCGCAAGCCUGAUCCAGCCAUACCGCGUGGGUGAAGAAGGCCUUCGGGUUGUAAAGCCCUUUUGUUGGGAAAGAAAAGCAGCAGGUUAAUACCCCGCUGUUCUGACGGUGCCCAAAGAAUAAGCACCGGCUAACUUCGUG